This 803-nucleotide ribosomal RNA is filed under the name Vibrio parahaemolyticus. RNAcentral describes it as "bacterial SSU rRNA". It matches the Rfam family "Bacterial small subunit ribosomal RNA", at positions 431 to 1226 of the family's 1533-position model. Lineage: Bacteria; Pseudomonadati; Pseudomonadota; Gammaproteobacteria; Vibrionales; Vibrionaceae. The record is from RNAcentral.
CACUUUCAGUUGUGAGGAAGGUAGUGUAGUUAAUAGCUGCAUUAUUUGACGUUAGCGACAGAAGAAGCACCGGCUAACUCCGUGCCAGCAGCCGCGGUAAUACGGAGGGUGCGAGCGUUAAUCGGAAUUACUGGGCGUAAAGCGCAUGCAGGUGGUUUGUUAAGUCAGAUGUGAAAGCCCGGGGCUCAACCUCGGAAUUGCAUUUGAAACUGGCAGACUAGAGUACUGUAGAGGGGGGUAGAAUUUCAGGUGUAGCGGUGAAAUGCGUAGAGAUCUGAAGGAAUACCGGUGGCGAAGGCGGCCCCCUGGACAGAUACUGACACUCAGAUGCGAAAGCGUGGGGAGCAAACAGGAUUAGAUACCCUGGUAGUCCACGCCGUAAACGAUGUCUACUUGGAGGUUGUGGCCUUGAGCCGUGGCUUUCGGAGCUAACGCGUUAAGUAGACCGCCUGGGGAGUACGGUCGCAAGAUUAAAACUCAAAUGAAUUGACGGGGGCCCGCACAAGCGGUGGAGCAUGUGGUUUAAUUCGAUGCAACGCGAAGAACCUUACCUACUCUUGACAUCCAGAGAACUUUCCAGAGAUGGAUUGGUGCCUUCGGGAACUCUGAGACAGGUGCUGCAUGGCUGUCGUCAGCUCGUGUUGUGAAAUGUUGGGUUAAGUCCCGCAACGAGCGCAACCCUUAUCCUUGUUUGCCAGCGAGUAAUGUCGGGAACUCCAGGGAGACUGCCGGUGAUAAACCGGAGGAAGGUGGGGACGACGUCAAGUCAUCAUGGCCCUUACGAGUAGGGCUACACACGUGCU